AUUGAACGCUGGCGGCAUGCCUUACACAUGCAAGUCGAACGGCAGCACGGGAGCAAUCCUGGUGGCGAGUGGCGAACGGGUGAGUAAAGUAUCGGAACGUGCCCAGUCGUGGGGGAUAACGUAGCGAAAGUUACGCUAAUACCGCAUACGAUCUAUGGAUGAAAGCGGGGGAUCGCAAGACCUCGCGCGAUUGGAGCGGCCGAUAUCAGAUUAGGUAGUUGGUGGGGUAAAGGCUCACCAAGCCGACGAUCUGUGGCUGGUCUGAGAGGACGACCAGGCACACGGGAACUGGAAAGCGGCCCAGACUCCUACGGGAGGCAGCAGUGGGGAAUUUUGGACAAUGGGGGAAGGCCUGAUCCAGCCAUGCCGCGUGCAGGAUGAAGGCCUUCGGGUUGUAAACUGCUUUUGUACGGAACGAAAAGGUUUGGCCUAAUAAGCUGAGCUCAUGACGGUACCGUAAGAAUAAGCACCGGCUAACUACGUGCCAGCCGCCGCUGUAA
Molecule: ribosomal RNA, 500 nt
Filed under: uncultured bacterium
Lineage: Bacteria
Description: partial 16S ribosomal RNA
Rfam family: Bacterial small subunit ribosomal RNA
Source: RNAcentral